CUUCCUUAUUAGAACUUUGUAUUGUGACGAAGUCCUUAGAACUAUAUUUUGAUCGAUAGAGGAGGAUUUAUCGAAUAGUUCUUAAACAUGUUCAUAACCAAAUGAUACAUCAUUAAUAGGAACAAUGGCAUUUAUCAAGAGUAGGUAGUUGUAUGCUAUAUAGGUUAGUUGUCCUCAUAACAAGGAGUGUGGAGAUACUGGUAUAGCACACAGGUGAGAUGUAGGAGUAUAUCGUCACUGAACAAGUAAUUCAUCUGCUGAGCACUUGACUGUCAAGAGCAGCUCGUGAAAUAUAUGAGCAUAAGUGUCCCUCAGACCUGAAAUCACCAU
This 330-nucleotide long non-coding RNA is filed under the name Elaeis guineensis (African oil palm). RNAcentral's name for it is "long non-coding RNA (EGUI_LNC069114)". The record is from RNAcentral. Lineage: Eukaryota; Viridiplantae; Streptophyta; Magnoliopsida; Arecales; Arecaceae.